RNAcentral lists this ribosomal RNA (433 nucleotides) under uncultured bacterium. RNAcentral describes it as "partial 16S ribosomal RNA". It matches the Rfam family "Bacterial small subunit ribosomal RNA", at positions 29 to 507 of the family's 1533-position model. The record is from RNAcentral.
AACGAACGCUGGCGGCAUGCCUAACACAUGCAAGUCGAACGAGACCUUCGGGUCUACUGGCGCACGGGUGCGUAACGCGUGGGAACCUGCCCUUAGGUUCGGAAUAACUCCCCGAAAGGGGUGCUAAUACCGGAUAAUGUCUUCGGACCAAAGAUUUAUCGCCUUUGGAUGGGCCCGCGUUGGAUUAGCUAGUUGGUAGGGUAAAAGCCUACCAAGGCGACGAUCCAUAGCUGGUCUGAGAGGAUGAUCAGCCACACUGGGACUGAGACACGGCCCAGACUCCUACGGGAGGAAGCAGUGGGGAAUAUUGGACAAUGGGCGAAAGCCUGAUCCAGCAAUGCCGCGUGAGUGAUGAAGGCCUUAGGGUUGUAAAGCUCUUUUACCCGGGAUGAUAAUGACAGUACCGGGAGAAUAAGCGCCGGCUAACUCCGUG